Molecule: long non-coding RNA, 307 nt
Filed under: Helianthus annuus (common sunflower)
Lineage: Eukaryota; Viridiplantae; Streptophyta; Magnoliopsida; Asterales; Asteraceae
Description: hypothetical non coding rna
Source: RNAcentral
UGCCGGAAAACGAACUCACCAGAGAAAUCCCGAAGGAGAUUUUGAACUGCAAGAACUUAACAACCUUGAACCUGUGGGGAAACUUUUUUCCGGCAAAAUACCCAGGGAACUUGGAUCGAUUCUGAAUCUUCAAAAGUAGUUUUUAGGCAACAACUCACUUACGAAAGAACUUCUCGAUUCGUUACUUGAUUUGAAAAACUUGAAGCUCUUGGAUCUAAGCCGGAACUGUUAUGGGAACCAUAUGGGGGUGAAAUACCGGAGAUUUUCGGACGACUCACACAAGUGAGGACUCUACUUCUGCAUUCGA